Molecule: ribosomal RNA, 173 nt
Filed under: Cooperia spatulata
Lineage: Eukaryota; Metazoa; Nematoda; Chromadorea; Rhabditida; Trichostrongylidae
Description: partial small subunit ribosomal RNA
Source: RNAcentral
GGCUACACUAAUAAAAUUUAAACUUUAUUUUUGGUAAAUUAUAACGUUUUUAAAAAAAAAAAUUGAAUAAUUUUAGGUAAAAUUUAGAUUAUUUUUAAUAAAAAGUUAUAAUUUAAAGUUUUGAUAAACGAAUUAGAUUAGUACCUAAGUAGUCAAAUGUAAAAAGUGCAGAA